Molecule: ribosomal RNA, 485 nt
Filed under: uncultured bacterium
Lineage: Bacteria
Description: partial 16S ribosomal RNA
Rfam family: Bacterial small subunit ribosomal RNA
Source: RNAcentral
AGUGAACGCUGGCGGCGUGCUUAACACAUGCAAGUCGAACGAGAACGGGAUAUAGCUUGCUAUAUUUGUCAGCUAAGUGGCGCACGGGUGAGUAAUGUAUAGAUAACCUGCCCUCUAGAAAGGAAUAACAGUUGGAAACGACUGCUAAUGCCCUAUAUGCCUUUAAUACAUAAGUAUGCAAGGGAAACGCUUUAGUGCUAGAGGAUGGGUCUGUAUGGUAUCAGCUUUGUGGUGAGGUAAUCGCUCACCAAGGCUAUGAAGCCUAAAUGGUUUGGGAGGAUGGACAGUGAGACUGGAACUGAGACACGGUCCAUACUCCUACGGGAGGCAGCAGUGGGGAAUAUUGCACAAUGGACGAAAGUCUGAUGCAGCAUCGCCGCGUGGAGGAUGACACAUUUCGGUGCGUAAACUCCUUUUAUAUAGGAAGAUAAUGACGGUACUAUAUGAAUAAGCACCGGCUAACUCCGUGCCAGCAGCCGCCUAAA